UUGACCUCAAAUCAGACAGGAUUACCCGCUGAACUUAAGCAUAUCAAUAAGCGGAGGAAAAGAAACUAACUAGGAUUCCCCCAGUAACGGCGAGUGAAGAGGGACUAGCCCAACUUUGUAAUCGGUUGCCUUUGGUAUCCGAGUUGUAGUCUAGAGACGUAGGACCCGGUCAUUGUCGGCCGUCGAGAUGGCUCGGAUGCCGUGUCAGAGAGGGUGCCAACCCCGUACGACGGUCUUGCACUUUGGCCACCGCGGUCCGCGCUCCAAGAGUCGAGUUGUUUGGGAAUGCAGCUCCAAUCGGGUGGUAAAUUCCAUCUAAGGCUAAAUAACGGCGAGAGACCGAUAGCGAACAAGUACCGUGAGGGAAAGAUGAAAAGCACUUUGGAAAGAGAAUGAAACAGUAUGUGAAAUUGCUGGAAGGGAAACGCUUGAAGUCAGCUUUGCGCGGAACGGUUCAACCCGGUCUUUUUGAUCGGGCGUACUUCGUUCCAUUGCGGGCCAGCAUCGGUUUGAGGACCGUCAACAGGGUGAGAGGAAGGUAGCCUG
This 546-nucleotide ribosomal RNA is filed under the name salal associated fungal clone UBCtra1522_15. RNAcentral describes it as "eukaryotic LSU rRNA". It matches the Rfam family "Eukaryotic large subunit ribosomal RNA", at positions 1 to 543 of the family's 3401-position model. Lineage: Eukaryota; Fungi; Basidiomycota. The record is from RNAcentral.